ACGAACGCUGGCGGUGUGCUUAACACAUGCAAGUCGAACGGAAAGGCCUCUUUCGGGGGGUACUCGAGUGGCGAACGGGUGAGUAACACGUGAGUAACCUGCCCUUGACUUUGGGAUAACUUCAGGAAACUGGGGCUAAUACCGGAUAGGAGCUCCUGCUGCAUGGUGGGGGUUGGAAAGUUUCGGCGGUUGGGGAUGGACUCGCGGCUUAUCAGCUUGUUGGUGGGGUAGUGGCUUACCAAGGCUUUGACGGGUAGCCGGCCUGAGAGGGUGACCGGCCACAUUGGGACUGAGAUACGGCCCAGACUCCUACGGGAGGCAGCAGUGGGGAAUAUUGCACAAUGGGUGGAAGCCUGAUGCAGCAACGCCGUGUGCGGGAUGACGGCCUUCGGGUUGUAAACCGCUUUCGCUCAUGACGAAGCUUUGUGUGACGGUAGUGGGUAAAGAAGCACCGGCUAACUACGUG
This 466-nucleotide ribosomal RNA is filed under the name uncultured bacterium. RNAcentral's name for it is "partial 16S ribosomal RNA". It matches the Rfam family "Bacterial small subunit ribosomal RNA", at positions 29 to 507 of the family's 1533-position model. The record is from RNAcentral.